GGGGGAUGAGGGGGGUGGAGGCAGGCAGCAUGCAUGUGGGGGCCGAGGGGAGCCCCAGGAAAGGGCGACCCGGGGGCUCUGGGGAACCCGUGCGGCUCUGAUCGUGUGCGUCAAUCCCUGCCUUCACCCAGCGGGCCCUGCCCGCCCCCCGCACCGUGCCCCCAGCCCUCUCCCCGUGGGGCGGCCCCCGGGGCUGUGGCCGCGUUCUCCCGCACGCCGCAAUUAGAGCGCUUCUUGGAGAGCCCCGGAGAGCCCUCGGCAGCCGCUCCGCUCUCCUCUCCCGGGCGGCCGCUCUGCGUGUGGCUCUACCCGGGCGGCUGUGGCUGCGGGGAUAGCGUUCCUGUCCGCCACCCGAAUUUUAAUAUCAAUUUCCAUAUUAAUCGAUCACCCCAUCUAUCUGCUGGAUGAAGGAAAUAGUUGGCAUUCCGAAGAAAAUUGCCUGCUUUCCUGCGGUUAAUAGUUAACUCCGGAAUAGAAAGUUCCCAGGGAAAUGCGGAGGCAGAGCGGGAGCGGCCCCGCCUGCGAUCGGGCGGCAAAACCCUCCCGGGAUCCCCAGAGCCUCCCAGGCACCCUCCCGAGCCCCCCCGGGCCUCCGCUCCAGGCCCAGGCCCCACGUCCCCCUCUUCAGGCAAUAGCCGGGACCGAUGUUGUAAGGAGCAAAGUCCCGAGGGGAUGCGGGCGGGAGGUGUCGGGCUCCUUCCCCGUAGAUGGAACAGCAGUGACCGCAACAGGUUUGUCUUCGUACAGCUUCCAGUGCUGGUGUGAAAUUGUGCCGCUUUGUGCACUCACAGCUGAGCAGAGGCAGAGCCUGCGGAAACGAGCAGACGUCAGUCAGCCCAGUGCGCUGUUAGCCACGAAAGUCCUCAGCACAAUGAUUUGGUGAGGCCGUGAUCUCGGAGAGACAGAAAAUGAGAUGGGUGCUUCGGAUGGAUCAGGAGGAAAUGCUGAAUCGUAAAGGUUUGUGUGGCCACCUGCCUCGGAGUGGAAGGAAGGCUGCCCUCCUCCUACAUCUGACCACUGACAUUAGGCUUGCGGGGCUGCGUGACCCAGCAGAGAGACCUCAUCCGCCAGCAGGGAAGUAACAUGCCCUCUUGGUCAGAUGCUGUUGCUCUCUGGACUUCUGCCUUUCUAGGUGGGACAGUGUGGCCUCUUUAACCCCAUCACUGGAUCAGUGCUCCCAAAUUAGUGUAAUCAUCCCACUCAAAUUAAGUGAGCAGCUCCUGGCUCUGCAGCCCAGCUCUGGGCAUCCCCUCUCAGCCUGGCACCCGCAUCCCCCUCUUCCUCCCUCUCCCCCAAAGCCCCCUGCUUGUGGGCUCCUUGAUAUUUUCUAGUCCUUCCCUAAUGAGCACUGCAGAAUUACAGCUAAUUAAGGAUGUAAAUGAUGCUGGAGAAAGAGGGAGAGGGAGAAGAUGGGAAGGGGCGGGGGGAGGGCAGCUACUUGCUGUGUGCAACUCUGCAGUAAAGUGUCUCCUACCUCAGCAGAAAAGUUAUCAUGGGAGACAAUGUCAACUUUAUGGAGGGGGGAGGGCCCUCUCAGCGCCUCUGUCCCCGCCUGUAAUAGCUGCUGCCUCUCUUUUAUGUGUCAGCGCUGCAGAUGAUGUCCUCCCUCCCAAAUGCUGCUUUGUCAGCUGGCGCUGUCACACAGCCCUGGGUCUCUCUCUGCCUCUCGCUGCCAUCCUCACCGUGCCAGGGCACCCAGGGGCCUGUCUCCUUCCUUGCAAGGAGGUCUGCCUCUCUUCCUGCCUACAGGUCCUCCUCCACACCCGUGGUUUGGAGAGGAUCUGGGACCGGUCCCACUCCAUGAAGGAAUGUUUGUGCUGUGACACAGGCGGGAUGCUGUGUGGGCAGGAGCAGGCAGUGAUGGGGACAUCUGCCCAACACAGUGCUGCAGAGGGACCUUGGCUGCCACUCCACCAGGAACACAGCUCUGUUGGGUCCUCUAAGAGCAUUUGGAAGCGCUCCGGGUCCCCGUUGCCAUAUUUCCCUGCACAUUGCCUGCAUCAGUGGGUUGUGAAAGUACGUUUGUCCCAGUGCUGUGUCUCGUCCAUCCGUCCGUCCAACGGAGGACCACACGUUCUUGGGUCAAGAGCAGGCAGCAAUGGGCAACAACAGCGGUGGUGGGUUUUGUUGUUGUUUCCCCAGAUCGCUGUGCAAUAUAUUCCAAUUUUUUUUCUUGUCAUUAAGCCAGUGCCUCGGAGAUGAUGAUGUAGUCCCUAUGUGGGCCGCAGAAAGCACUUCGAGCCGUGCUGGAGUCGUGCUGGGUGGCUCUGAUAGCAGAGCUAAUGGGAGCGAAUGGGAUGCAACGAACUGUUCUAAUGACACCAGCCAGGGAAGAGACAACAUGCCAAGAAGCCAGCUUCUCAGAACGGAUGUUGGAGGAGAAAACUGAGCAUGGCUGGCUGUACAGGACCGGCCUGGGAUGAAGCAGGAAUAACUCAGUAGGAUGUCUGCAGGAGGCUUAUGAAGUUCUCUCUGUCUGUGCUGUGCAAGCAUGAAGACGCCAAGACACAGACAGGUGCGAUUUCAUGCUGGGAAACUGACUGCCAAGUUGUGUGAGCACCCCGGGACUAGUGAGGCCAUGGUAGUUCUCUGCCAGCCGGAGCGAGAUGUGCCGUGGGGACACCGGCCCCCCCCUUCACCGUGUCCCCCCCUGCUCCUCCCGUGCAAAAGUUAUUGUCGUCUUCGUGGAGUCUCAGACUUCAUCAGAGCAGAGACUUCCACGCACGCAGUGUGGAUUCGCUGUCGAUUCUGUGGCUGAACAAUGCGCCAAUCUGCCCUCCCUUCGUCCCCCCUCUGCCCCAAGAAAGAUUUCCCCAGCCAGAAGAGCACUCCCAGGAGGAACAAAACAAGGAGGAGAGAAAGAGAGGAGCGGGAGCAGCGCGGGUACGCGUGGGGAUGCCGAGAAAUAUGGAUCUCGGCAGGGUAACGAGGCGCGGUGGAAGGAGGAGGCUAUACGUCUUUUCUCAGUAUUUAAAUGUGUGCUUAAUAUGGCGCUCAGUGGAAUGGUUAAUCUGCUAAUGCUGGUAGUGUUUGCUGUAGUACUCAGAGAAAUGUUUACUGCAGUAUUUCAUGGGGAUUGUGUUCUGGAUGGCACAAAAGGAGGAAUCGCUCUAGCGUACCAGGAAAAUGUUCAUUGCAAAAUAUACUGGAAUAUUAAGAGGUUUAUUUAGUGGCGUACUUAGUAUAAUAUGAAAAGAGUUAAGCACAGAGUGUUUUAUUAAUAUUUUUGGGGUGUGGAUGAAUUUCAGUGCUCGGGAAGGUUAUGGAGGAGCAAUUCCAGCAAAGGCUGGUUAUAUUCACAGAUUUAUAGAUCUUAAGAGCAUAAAGGACUCUUUGAUCAGCUAAUCUGACCUUCUGUAUAACACAGGUAUAUACAGCGUGGACAUACCUCCUGAUUCAGCAAAGCACUUUAAGCACUUGCUUAAAUUUAAGCAUUCGAGUUGCCCCACGGAAGGCAGAGAAAAUAACCCUAUUGAAUCAAUGGGACUAUUCAUGCCCUUAAUGGGAAGUGGAUGUUUAGGCAUUUGCUGAAUUGGGACCACAAUAAGAUAAUGCAGCUAAAUGAGUAAUUCAUAGCCGCCCAUUUAUUCAACUGCUUUUGCCUCCUUUUCUGCUCGUGGAUUGCUCUGGAGCCAAUCGCCAUUUCCUGCAAUGUAUUCAUUGUCUGAAGUCAUUCACUGAAUAAUUUCAGUGAAAACUCCUUCUUGAUAGCUUGCUCAUAAACAAUUCAUUGUGAAUAUGGGAAUAUAUGCACAUACGUUUUCACAGUGUGCGUGCGUGCUCCCGUGUGUGUGCGACCGGAGCGUGCAAACACACGUGCACGCACAAACCCAGGGUCAGCACCUUCAGCCGCAACAGGGAAUCCCAUGGACGUGGCUUUGUGAUUUUGCUCCCAUGUUCACUUGGUGCCCUCUGCCUCGCAGCACAGCCCUCGCAGGAAAGUGUCCCGCUGGGAAUUUCACAAGAAGGGAAAUGGAAGAAGGCGCACAAUGCGCUGCAGUGAACUGAGCGUACGAUCGUCCACGUUUGUGUACCCGUGCCGGGCCCUCCAUUCUCUGCCCUUACUCAAUCGGUCAUGAAUCAAAUCUGAUUCAUUUUGAAUGCAUUGCUUAGGGAUUUUUCAAAUCAGCCAGGGCGUAUCUUCUCCAAACAAGGGUGUUUGUGUUUGCAGACUGCCUGUGGCACCGCAUCGGUCAAGUAAGAGGCUUGGUAUUUUUCUGAACAGGAACAAAACUGCAGAACAGGUACCAUGAAUGAGCGGGGCGCUCGGCAGGCAGAAUUGUGUUUGUGCAGUGGGCAGCUCCAGCUCUCAUGCAGAACUUACUGGGCAUUACGUAUCACAACGUGGGAAUCGUUUGCUUGUGGUGCAGGCUGCCUGUCAGAUAUCCUUUCUAAAAGACACACUGCUUUUUAGGAUCUGCUUAUCUUUUUGGGAAAUCAAAGGAAUUACCUUGAUAUUCAGUAGUAAAAUACAAAUUGCCUACAAAUUAAAAACUGAACUUGAUGUUUCCUGAAUUUCAGUUUAUCUUCCUUCUUUACAAGAUGGUAGAGAGAGAUGUGAUGGAAACCAGGAGGGAGCCAGGCAGUUUUGGUUCCUAUACAGAGCUGAUAGGACGCUCCAUGCUCUCCUCUGGGCUCCUGGCAGCUCUGACACCCAAACUGGCUUCUGAACAUCCCUCUGUUGCUGCAGGUGCUGGAGCUGGCAUGCUCGGGUCGGAGGGCUGCUUACUGGGACUGAUGGCAGAGAAAACUCUCUUGUCUGCAGGUGUGUGAUGUUACAUGGAGGAGGUUUAAAGCAAGGCUCAUGAUGAGAGCUGACUUUAGCAAGCGUCAAGAGGUGCCACCAAGUACAAUACUGGGUUGGUUCAUUAGGACUUUGAGAAUCAUUACUUUUUCUUCCAUUUGUCCAACUGAAAAUCCAGUUUUGGCUUUUUCUGGCUAACCUGAGGAGGGUUUUUUUUUUUUUCCUGAGAUAUUUCAGUAAAACAGAAGGGCGCUGUAAGUUAUCCAGGCCGAAUGAGAUACGUUGAUGGCCACUGUCUUUUCUAAAAAAGCAGCUAUUUCGCACAGGGAAGACCAUCUCAACAUGAAAAAUCAAUUGCAAUUAUUCUUUUCCCGACGUAUAAAGCGAAACCUUUUGACUUUUCAAAAUUGCCAUUUCCAUUUAGAUUUUCCCUGUUGGCGGGUGACUGGCCAAAUUCGGCAUGAGCUAGCCAGCAGCCUGUCAGCUGCGGGCACCGUUCAUUCAGCAAAUAAACUUUAUUCACUGAAGUAAAAAAGAGCAACGGCAAAUCCCGACGCUGCGUUCCCCGAAGUUGGGCUGUGGUCGGAUCCGCGGUACGUGCUUCUGCCAAUAUUUGCAUAGCAUUCCAAACAACAGAGACCAUUUGGAGCUAUCUGGGGAGGACCAUGGCAGGGCUCCGGGCAGAGCCACACACGGGCCCAGGCCGAGGUUUGUUUACCCCGCGGCUCAGUGCUCUCCAUCCUGCCGCGGUCAGUGCCACUCUCCUAAUGGAGGGCCUGCCACUUGUGCAUGCAAAGAAUCGUCUGGGUGUUAGUUUUGUUUGCCAAUACAAGCCGCCCAUUAGCUAUCUUAAUCCUCUUUCCUAACAGGCUUUAAAAAAAGAAAAAGGGAAAAGAGAAGGUCUCUCUCAAAUAUUGUUGUAGAGGAAAGAAAUACCCUUCUCCCUUUUUUUUUCUUUUCCUUUUUUUUCUUUUAAAUGGAAAUGUCUUGCUUUAUUGUAGUUUUACCUUCUGAAAGUUGAUGUAUUUUUUUCACCGAGGAGGCUGGAAACUGCUUGCGGAGAAUUUACAAAAGGAGUAAAACUCAGUCUUGUUUCAAUGUUUUCACUGAAAAUGAAAGUGAAUGUCAGGAGCUGCUCUGGGCUAAACUUCCAGCAGAUACGGGGUUAGAUGGGACCGCUUUGUGUUCAUUCCUCUCUCCUCCUUCCCUUCCCAACAUUGUUUUGGAUGAAAUGCAAAAUCAAAUCCUGCAAGAUGUGAUCAUUUAGGGUACUGUGGCAUAUUUUGAAACAGUAGGGCUGUUAGCCCCAGCGUCUUGGCCAAAUUCCAGCCUGGAUAAUUACAUUCUGCCGGCCUAUAUUCCAGCCUGCAGUUCAAAUGGGAGAAAAAAAAAAAAAAAAAAGAGUUAUCAUUUCUCCUCCAAGAAAUCCUGCUGUGUGAUGACUGAUGCUUUUCCAUCCCAGAAGUAGCUGUGUUUCAGGAAAUGUUGCCUCCAUGUUCCUCCAUGUCUUGCCCAUUGCCGGCUCCUUGGUGGGAACAAAGCACAGAGCUGACUGGGAGGGAACUGCAUUGCCUUGCACAUCCCCUUCACUGCUCUGUGUCCCUCUCUGCAUGGAACCCCACUACACAGGGCCACGUCCCCACAGCCUGCAGCAGGUCUUUGUGCUGCCAGCAGCCAGGGGUGGGCUGGGGAGGACAGGCGGCACAGAGGGCAGGCCGGCCGUGGUGGGAGAGGGAGGACUCACUUGACCCGUGCCUGUAAUUUGUAAAGAGCAUUUUUACACCAGAUCAAUGCUUUCCUCAGCAUUUUAAUGCACCCCAUUGGUGUCCUUAAACUCUAAUGAUGCAGUCUGUGAGAAGCUGCCAUUUAUUACCCACAGAUGGGGUGAUAAUUAUUGACAAGAUUGUAACUAAUAAUUAAACCCAUUUGCUCCUUUAAACAAGUUGGUGUGAAUUAUUUGCCGGGAGAGCUGUAGCAGGCCUGUGGUCACUCCUCCCCAUGGCUGAGAUGCAGUGCUGCCAGGAGCGAGCCCUGCACGUGGGAUGAAGCAUGGCUGCCCUGGGGACCAGGCCAUCCUGGAGACCAGGCUGUCUCCCAGGUCCUUGCAGCCUGCACUCCAGCCUGCAGCAAAAUGGUGUGGGGGCAGUGCCAAGCUCCUGCCCAGCCCCAUCCUGGGCCUCGCAGGGCCAGGAGAAGCACUGCGGUGCCCACGUGGCUGUGGGGCAGUGGGCAGAGGAUGAGGGGAUGAGGUUGGGGAAGCAGAGCACAGCAUCGCAGCGCUCAGAAGGCCGCCCGGGGGAGCUGCCUUCCCCUGCUGUACGUUUGGAGGGAGGGUGUAAAUCUAAUCUCACUGCUAGGGUCCAUUAGCAUUAGAGGGGAGUACUGUAUAUGCAUUCAUUCCCCGCUCUCACCCCUGGAUGACAGAGUACCCCCUCUCUUGUCUGCUUUAGCGCAUUGGGAAAGGCUACCCAUUAAUUCUGCAGCAGCAGUGGAUAAUGCUGUCGUAAGUCUUAGGUGCCUCUGAAUUUUGUGAACAUUUUACAGUAAUAAAUACCCCACACUUGUGCAUUUAAUUAGUUGUGUAUCUCGCAGUUGCUCCAUCUGUGCUCUGAUCUGGCUGUUUGUUCACGGAGGUGGGCUGCUUCCUUGUGCUCCUGCUCAGCCCCAAGAAAGGAGACCACGACGUGGUAGAAGGGGUUUGUGGCAAGAGAGGGAGAGGCACGUCUGUGGAGGUUUGUUGUACUGGAAGAGCAAACCUGAGCUGAGAAGAUGAAUGCAAAGCAACCAUGUUGCCAGAAAUAAGCUUCGGUACAUCCAUAAUGUCGGUGCUGUCUCACCCUCUGCAGUGCCACGCAUGCAUGUCAAACUGCUCAGGGCUGGGUUUCUGAAGAGGUUACUGUGCUGUUAAAUGUUCUGGCAGCAGUACUUGCCCUGUUCCUGCUCUCUCCCCUUCCACGUGUACUGUGUUGCACAGGCUAUGAAAUGACAGUACAAACGUACGUCCACAAAAACUCAUCUGCUUGUCUGACUUUGCUUUCAGCAUUUGUGCCUUCCCCUCCUUCAGUGAAAACAACUAUGGGAAGACCGAAAGCCUCACACCUGCUUGCUGCGUUACACGAUCCCUCUUUGUGAAACUCCACCUAAGUCUUGCACUUGCAGAACUCAUGGCGCAAGGGCAAGCAAGCACGUUGCUCUCCUAAGUCUGCAGGAGCCUGGGUUCAACCAGUGAAAAGUUGGGCUGCAAGCUCCAAGUCCUGCGUGAGAAACAUCACGGCCGCAGGGCAGAGCCACUGCUCUUCUGUGAGGCUGAUCUGCUAAUUCAGAUCCCUCCGGGGAGUGCUGACAGGUUAACUUCUCCUGGCAGACUCAAUGUGCGUUUGGUAUUAUUUCUCCGCGACUCUGACUUUAUGCCUUAAAAUAUCGCCUGUCAUCCCCCCACAGCUUGCAGAAAGGUGGAAGAAAAUUGAAGUUGGCACAAAAAACCUCAGAGUGUGUGCUCUGGCUCGUUCGGGAAGGCGUGAUGCCACAAAGAUACCUGCUCCAGUCAGGUCUGUGCGGCUGGCGGAGCCCAAGCUGUGCACAUCCAGUGGUGACACCCAGGGAGGUGUGGGGACCAACCAUGGCCCCAUCUCAGCUCACCCCGCUGCCUGCAGCCGUCCUGCGGAGCUCGGAGAGGCUAUUUAGACACUUAAAGCUAAUCACAUGCAUAAAUCUUCGAGAGAUCAAGGCUGUGGGGGAAACCAGGAGAAGGCAGUGAGGAGGCACAUGUCAAACAGGGCUGUGGUCGAGAGCUCUCCGAGACUUAAACAUAACAUUUGAGAAAAUGAGUCCAUUUGUUUCAGAGGCAUCCUGAACAUUGGCAUGUAGUAAUUCCGUAAUGGAUCCAUUUAACCAGCCCUAUAACUGAAAUAUCCUUCGCAAAUAUUUCCUUUAAUAGCACUUAAAGAGGGAAUGCAAGCAGAGAAAUUUUAAAGCACAGCUGCAUUAUUGCUGAGUUCCAGUUCUGAGGACUUUCAAAGUACCAAGCUAAUUUUUCUCCACAUUUGGCUCAAUAUUUAACAAAUCAAAUGAGAUCAGGAAGGAACCUGAGGUCAAUGUUUUUAACCUGAGUUGUUUGUUAAAUCAUCUCAGCUCUGCAGUAACAAAUACAGCAAGAGCAUGUUGCAUUGGAAGGUAAUUCAGAUAAUCCUCAGAAACUUUGCAAUAAAAUCAUCAUUGCAGAGAACAAGUCUGGAAAUGGCUGUUGGGAAGAAACCUUUCUGUGGAAAGUGGGAAAUUUGCAAAGACGGGAAUUAGAAGAAAAGUCAGAUUUCAGCCUCAGCUGUAGUGAUUAACUGCCUUAACUCUAGUAAUCGUUAAUGAGCAUCUACAUGAGCCAAACCAAAUUGGCAUUUGCACAGAAGCAAGACAGGUUGCAUCCAGCCUGAAGCCGCCCAGAAAGAUGGAUGUAAGCCAUGCAGAGGAGAGGCAGCUCUCACCAAAGCCUUUUUCAGCCCGGUGACAACCACAAGCUGCCUGCUGGGUAGGAAGAGAGCAUGAGGACUGCAGCAUUUGGGCCAUCAGUGUCGAAGGGAGAUCCUCAGGAACACCUGAGUGCCCGUUUCCAUAGCAAACAGGAAACUCGGAGCCCCUCUCUUCUCAGGGGCACCUGUCCUCGUGGGUCUGAGUGAGUGCAGUCCCUCGGGUCACUCCAGCAAUUGCUCCUUGCGAUUUAGCAGGUAGAUGUUAAUCGUGCUGUCCACAUCACACAGCCCCUCGCAGAUCACCAGCAAGGGCUCUCUAGGCCACCGGUGGCCCACAGCCCUGUUUCAGAAGCAACGUGCUAUAAUAAUGUAUCCCUAACCAUGCUUUAUACCAAUAAGUAGGCUAUAACCCUGUCAAGGUGUGCUGGUGACUCUAUAAACCAUGAGACCUGAAUGGUCAAUGGUCGAGUGGUUUAAAGCUGUCACCAGAAUACUGAGAUAGCCUUAUAAGCCUUGUGCUGCAUGGCUGGGGAUACAUUAUUCACUAUAAUAUAUGGUAAGAAAUACCUGUGCAGGGUCUGAAAUGAACUGCUCUAGCCACUAGCCAGCAUGGCUAGUGAUCAGGGAAAUCCGUCAGCAUUUUUGUGUGCAAUGGGAGGCAAAAAAGACAGAGGCACCGAGGAGGGGAAGUCGCUUUCUCUGUGCAGAGAAAUUGCAUUUUCUGCAGGGGAUGGAGGAUGAGCACAACCAAGCCGCAGUGUGGGAGCACAGACAGAGCCCCUCGUUGGCACUCGCUGCCCAGGGCUGGAGGCCUUCAGACCCAUGCAGGCCCAUGUUCUGCAAUCACGAGCCCUAUCGUAUGGUGUGCUUUGUUCAUCCGGCUGGCAUGAGCUGUGGCAAUUUUGUUUUCUUCCUAGCUGAGCAGCCCAUAACCAGUCCAGCUGGCUGGUGGUGGGUCAGAGUGUGUUGGGGCCUUUUCCAGUCUUUCUAUUAAGUGUAGUAUAGUACAGUGUAGUGUAGCAGUCAAGAUCUUUUGUGGCAUGUUCUAUUUGCUGAGCUCCGAGAACUUGAUGUUCAGUAGUAUCCCCAUCCUAUUGCUGGGGAAGUCAAGGCAACGUGCAGUGUCCCCCAGGGUCAUUGAACCAGAGGACAAGUCACUAGUUUUUGGAAACUAGCAAAACUUCAGGGUCUUUCUUAGAGGCCAGAAUUUUAAUGGACAGCUUUGCAAUUAAAAUCAGGGAGGGAGCUUGUGCCAGCUCAUGCACCACCACUGCAGAGCCCUCUCCUGCCAUGCUGUCAGGCCAUGCUGUCAGCAAUAUGUGCAGCGACUAAUGUUUAUAACCGAUGAAAAGUGGCCACUGACGCUCAGCUAAGCCUCGUAUUUAAGACCCUCUGCAAGUAGAAGGCUUAGAGAAAGCAAAGGUGGGCUUUCUCUGUGAUGCCCUGUAACAAUUCACGGCCAUCAUCUGUCUCCUGUAUGCAUGUGCUGUGGAUCAUACUGGGAUGAGCUGUUUCACCUACCAUGAAUUUCUUCCCCAGGCUGAUCUUCUGUUUUUGGAGGAAUAACAUGGACUCAGCUCAGAGCAGCUCAGCAAAGGCACAUGGCCAGGCUAGGUGCAAGAACGUGCAAUUGCAGGGUAAGGGAGGAGGGGGAGGCAGGAGUAGGUCUGGGGGAUGCCCCAGAUCAAAUGGCAGCACAUGUGGGAGUGAGAAGGGCUUCGAAGAGGCUCUGGAGAGGUUUAGGACUAAAGAAGACUCUGCCACCCACAACCUUGGCAGAUCAAAGAUUUUCCCAUCCUGACAGUCUAUGCUGCUUCAGCUGUAGGAGACAAAGUCCCUGAGAGCACGCCCAUGUGAGUGCCCUUUAGGGGCGGGGGAGAAACGAGGAGGGCUUGGGGGAUUUCAUUAGGAGAUGGGAGGGGAGGGAGGAAAGCCUUAGUCCUGAACAAUAGACAGAGCUCAUAUCGCCUGGAGGACUUGGCUGGUUUGUUUUAUUUAUUGCAUAGACAUACGUCUGUAUACAUACAUACGUGUACGUAUGCACACGGACACAUGUAUUGUUUUUUCUUCUAUUUAUUUAUUGCCCUUUAUCAGGCAUGGACCAGGAGCAUCGCUUCCCAUCUCAGAGGCUGGCAGACAAUAGGGCUGCCGGGGAUGUGCUGAGAACGGGUACGGGGAGAGGGCAUGGGCUGCUGGGAUCAGUAGCUGGGAAACCAGGGAUGGGCUGGAGGAAUCCGGGGGUGUGAGCACAGGCUGGCCGCCCCCGCACCCCCCUUGUUAUGUUAAGAGCCCGUCCACCAAGCAGGAGCCAUGCGGCGCAGGGGGAGCAGAGGGACAGCUCUGAAUGCGGCCGCCCCGGCAUCCUUCUGUUCUCCAUAUGGGGACAUUGUCUGGCCUCAGGCUGGCAGCCCCCUCCCUCCUCGUCGCCUCUCCUCUCCCCACUGUGCGCACGUCAAAUGUUGGUUUCCCUUUUGAUUAAAACCCUCAGAGCGGCCAGCGGGGUGACGGGCACCAGGAAUUUGUGAAAGAUGGAGGAGGAGGAGAAACAAGUUUGUGUUUGCCGAGCGGAAGCCGCUUCCCUCCAUCCCCCCUCCCUCUACCUCCCUCCCACCUCCUCUGGGCUGACUGUGGCUGGGGGCCAAGCAGACGUGGGCGUACAGGGUGCUGUGGAGGGCAGGUACCCAGAGGAAUCCCCCCCAGCCCGGACCUGCUGCCCGGGGUGCGAGGUGCUGCAUCCACCCGUACCCCCACCGUAGACCACGAUGCUGCUCACAAAGGGUUUCCCUGCAACACCCACCUUGUGCAGCCCCACUGUACCGCCAUGGGCCACGUGCUGACACUGAAAAUGUGGUUAUGUGAAGAACUGAAAUAUCCAAGGCGAGAAGUUAAAACAACUACAAAACUUCAACAAUUCCUUUUGAUGAGAAAAAAAAUAUGCAAAUAUGGAAGCACCAAUGCCUGCAACCGGGACAGACAGCGCUUGGAAAUACUGCAAAAAAUGUCACAACAGCAAGGCUGUGUUUUUCCCAAGUUGUUCUACAGACCUUUAAAGAUGCUGCUUCAUGAAAUAACGAGUGGUUCAUUCACCAACCCAUCAGCUUGGGAAAUAUAUGCAACACGAAUUCAUUUGUUUCCAGCUAAUUGCACUUUCAUUUCCUCCUCCUGUCUGUGCAAGGCGAUGCAGGCUGAGGCUUGGAGCGGUGCCUCCCAGGCGGUGCCGCAUGCACUGCUCUCGGUGUGCAGAGCCCUCAUGGCAGUGCCCAGCCCAGCCGGGGGAUGCAGCUGCUCCCUUCACUUGGGCAAAAAAGAUUUGGGACCCAUAGUUUAGAGGGAGGUGGGACUGGCAGUCCUCUCUCAUGUUUUAUUCCUGGCUUCUGCCGUUGGCGUGCUGUACAGUUGGAGUCAAACAAACGAACUUCUCUACAUCUCAGUUACGCUUUCUGUAAAAUGAAGGUAAUAAUAUUUAUCCAGCUGGGAUGCUGCAAGGAGUAAUUAAUGUGUACGAAUCACUUUGAAUUCCUCUAACGAAGUGCAAACUGUAUUAGUCCCCACAGAAACUGGUAAUAGGUUUGUGUCUUCCUUCACUGAAGGUCUGACCUCAAUCCCCCCGGGGUAAUCUCGAGGAAAAACUCUUCCUCCUAUUUGUAUUAGAGCAGUUUGUAAGGGCCUCUCCCAGGCCAGAAUCCCUGUUGUGCUUGGAGCUGUAUGCUCAUACAGUAACAUACAGACCGUGCACUAAAGACCUUAUAUCUACAGUAUGAAAAUCUAGGAGAAAACAAGCAUUAACCCUUUUUCAAAGGUAAAUAACAAGGCACAGAGAGGAAACACCUUACCAGUAGUAGGUCUGUGAACUGAGGCUUUUCAGAAGACCAUCACCUCAGAUUGACUUUCCAGCUCGAGCUGAGUUCUCACAUCACUUGUCUGAUGUUUCACUUCCCCAUUUUGAAGUAGCCAGUGGCAAAGGAUUGAAUCCCCCUCUGCUGGGAUGGCUCAGAGAGAGCAGAAUUUGGGAAGGUCAAAGUUUGCAGAGAGAGGACACCAAUGGCUGCAGGUAGGGCAUGUGACUGCUGGUCCUGUUCUUCAUCUCAUGCUCUUUUGGAGAUCUGGAUGUGUUCUGUGUUCUCAUCUGAGUAAAUCUGCAACAGUCCCUGCCCCAGACUGCCAAACCCAGGGAGAAUCCUGCACUAUUCCAGUAUGUAUUUUCUAUCAGCGAAGAUGUGAUUCCAGCCCUCUGUCCUGGACUUUCUUAAUCUGUCUGCUAAAAAAAAAAAAUCACUGCUUGUGAAAGAAUUAGUGGAAUUUGGGUAGGAAAUUGUUUCCUUGCUUUGAACAAAUUUUUAGAAUUCAAAAAUAUUUUCCAUCAUGAGUCUUAAACAGUUUUGCAAGUUCACCAUUAUAACUCCAGGCAGCCAGCCAGCCAACACCAACCCUUCAAAUUAAAAAAAAACAAAAACAAAACAAAACCAGGAAAUAUCAGUUGAUCAAACUCAACUUGUUUUGAGCAAUUUCCUAAUCGUUAUUUCAGAUUUCAAUUUUCUUUUUACUGCAUCCAUACCUCAACUAGAGCAGUAAGCUGUUUCACACCAAUAUAUUGGAUUUCUUCAAAUUUGGACUCAUGAAGUAUUCCCAAACUUGAUUCCAUUUUUCUCCCAACGUUAGAAAUCAGUUUCAAUUGUGUCUUUCCUGAAGGAAAAAAAAUAGAGCAGAAAAAUAAGCGUGUCAGAAAAUUCCCCACCAGAGUCAAUGAUGGGCUGUUGGUCCCAUUCGCAUUCUGUGUUAGCCAUGGAACAUAGCCCUGUGAAAGCUGCAUUUCACAGCCUUAGAACUGCUGAUGCUUCAUAGAAGGGACCUGAAGUAAUGACCUCCUGGCCUGCUUGUCCUCAGGUGCAUCACUACUAAGCCACCUUUAAUACUAUCACGCAGAUGCCACAAGACCCUCUAGAUAAAGAUAUUACUGUUUGCAUGUUCCCUGCUCUUCCAAAGGGUCUUGAGAACUUACCAUACAGAGAUCCAACCAGCAAGGGGGGGUCCACUGGUUUCAGUACGCAGAAGGAAAGCUAAAGAGGUAUUCCAAUAGGACGAGGUAAAGGAUGAAUGUUGGCAUGAUGGGAAACGUGGGGAGACAAAGACUGAGACAAAGACUCUGGUGGUGUAAAUGAUUCCCACUCGGUGGAUUUUCCAAGGCCAUGUUAAUGUACACUUGCAGAAGACCUGGUCGUAACCUGUAACAUGCAUCAGCCAUGGACUCCUUUGGUGGCCAAGCAACCACGUGUUGGAAAGGAGCCACCGAGAGAGAGGGCACCUUCCCCUGGGAGACUCUUCCUGAGCAGCUGGCAGCAGAGCAGGACUUCUCGCCUGGCUGCUGCUGCCCAUACUGCACACCUCUUGGGGCCAGGGUCCCUCAUCCUCUAGCCAGCAUUUGGCCAAAGAAUGGGGGCUGUUUACAGGCGGCAUCUGAAGAUGCCGUUUUGAAGAUAGCAUGUGCAAGGAUGGAAGGAUGAGGGGAGGGGGUGGGGGAAGAGGAGAGGUACAGACACAGCACUCCUUGGCAGUGAUUUAUAGACUGGGUCAGACACAAAUUGACUCGUAUGCAAGAAAUGUAAAUGGAAUCGAGACUUUUGAUGGAGAAGCUCAUUUUCAGACUUAAACGCUUUAGAUUAAACACACUCACACACAAAUGCUGGCGGGGAGGGUGUUUUAUAUAAUUUACAUUACAAAUCAAUUCAUUAUCCACAGAGGCAGGUUGCACUGAUUUUCAAGGAUCGGAGAUUUGAUGAAGAGGAUUCAUUUCAAGAAAUAAACCUUUUAAAUUAACCGCAAGAUGAGGGAAAUUUCUUUAUUUAAAAAAUGCGCCAGCCCCUUCUUUGUUUCUUUUAUUAUUAUUAAUAUUAUUUUCCAUCCGGCUCUGGGUCAUUAAGGAGGGCCCAGAAGUCACAGAUUGCCUUUCUGAGGGAGGAGAGCUGAGAACUUCGAAUGUCGCACAUUUUGUCUGGCUCCAAACCCUUCAUUUAUUGCAACGCAAUUUGUUACCUGCGGUUGGCUCUGCAUGCCAUUGUGCGCUGUGCGCCAGGACUGAUUUAGCAGGGAAUGUCCUCUCCACCUUGAACCUGAGAGGGGGAAAAUCCCCCGGGAGAGGAGAUGGAAGAACCAUGACAGGCAGCCUUCCAGCUGCCUCAGAAGCGAAAUGCCCACUGAGCUCUGGGAGAAGUCCCUUCCAGCUUUGGCACUGUGUGGAGUUCAGGAAACUCCUAACAAAGGCAGAUGGUUCCAUGAGGACACAUUUAAGGUGCAGAGAUAAAGAAAUGGAACCAAAGGAAAACCUGGUAACAAACCAGAUAUGGGUCCUUACCUCCCAUGCUGCCCGGAGGGUGAGCAGACCGCAGUGGAGAAUAGCCAGGGCUAGAGGCAAAGCAGGAGGAGUGAAGAUGAUUGAAGGACAUUACCCAUCUUCCUUGGCAAAGCUUCAGAAUACUGUCUUGGAGGAAAAUUCUUUCUUGCUACCUAAGCCAUUUGAGUACGACUUUUGUUCUCCUUCAGUCAUUCCUGUCUGCAGCUCCCUUGUAACACCCAAGCUGGGAUCUCCUGAAAACAGGUUGCAAAAGUAGCAUUCCUGCUCCCCAGCAUCCCUUCUGGCUGCAGCAUGGAGAGAGGCAAAGCAAGAGAGAAGAGCAGACAUCUACAAUUUUGUUUGCCAAGCGCCUUUUUCAGAUACUUCUGCAUCAGGAAGCAAAUGGCAGGGUCUUUUUCCUAUUUGGACAAGAGCUGACCCUGUAGACACACAGCUGCACUCCCAGCUAAUAGUCAACCACUGCAGCUGUGUGGGAUGAGCCUGGGCUGGGUACUCUUCUCAGACAAUGGCUGGGAAUGGGCAUCUUUGGAGUCUUAGGGCCAUUUGCAUCCCUCGGGGUCCCAGCAAACAUUCCUGAUGUGGAAUUUUUCUCACUCAAAGUGGAAUUUUCUUGAAGACUUCCUUCUUGUGGGAGGGCCCUGGCCACUGAUGGAACUGCACAGCCCUGGGACAGGCAGGGCAGAAAGUGGCCCCAAAUGAAGGUCCCAGCAUCAGGUGAGCAGCAGUUAGUGGGGCUGGAGGGAGCCAAGACACCAGGGCUAAUGGCUCCGAUCUUCUGAAAAGAAGCCAUGGGAUCUUCAGUGACCACAAAUGGCUAAGACCUCCAUUUUACAUCUCUUCCAAAAAGCAAUCAUACGCAUUUUCGCAGGAGAGCUUUUAUUCUCAUGCAGAUAGGGUAGGCAGUGCUGUGUCCUCUCCCAAGUGCAUGCGGAUCUGGUCAGUCCGAGCACACAGAAGAACGACAUGAAACAUGUUUGACCUUCACAACUUCCCUUUACAGACCAGCAAGCUAAAACCCUGAAGGAAUUUUCCUGAGCGAGUUUGUCCAAAGCAACGUUCACCACCUCAUUCAAUAUUUGCCUGCAAAAAAAAAUGCCAAUUAUUGAGAGACAGUCCUGGCUGGGCAUCAAUAGGCAGCCAGGUGUGAGAAGUUGAAGAGAAAUACAUCUCAUUAAUGUGGAAUUGUUUUUAGGUUAAUAAUCUUGCGUUAAUUUUCCUUUAAAAUAUUGUCUUUGACCGUUAAACGCUCGCACUGUUAUAAAAAGAACGUAAUAAAUGAUCUUGAAGCAAA
Gallus gallus (chicken) is the source of this 16847-nucleotide long non-coding RNA. RefSeq lists it as uncharacterized. The transcript is spliced from 10 exons. Lineage: Eukaryota; Metazoa; Chordata; Aves; Galliformes; Phasianidae. The record is from RefSeq and is a predicted model, not a curated record.